GAAAUCUCCAAUUUCUUUACCACCAGAAGACUUGGAGAAGUGAAGACAGGACUCUGCACCAAAAAAUCAAAAAUGGCAUUUUGUAUGGAAAUCCAUCAUAGGCAUAAGCACUGUCAGUCUUGUUUUUGGCUUUUAGUUGCCAUCUGUGAACUAGCAGCUUGGGAAGGGGUUCAGAGCUGCAACUACAGUUAUUCAAUAACAGAUAUGACAUGGCCCGAUGCCGGAAACUACUGCCAACAUUUCUUCACUGACCUCGUUGCAAUUCAGAACCACGAAGAAAGUGACCAUCUGAAUACAGUGAUACCAAGGAACCCAACUGGAUUGGAAUAAGAAAGAUUAAUAAUGUUUGGACCUGGGUUGGAACUAACAAAACAUUGGAUGAAGAGGCAGAAAACUGGGCUGCAGGUGAACCAACUCCUGGUGCUGAAGAUUGUGUAGAAAUUUAUGUAAAGAGAACGACAGAUGCAGGAAGGUGGAAUAACGAUCCCUGUAAAAAAAUGAAGCGUGCAUUAUGUUAUUUAGCUAGAAGCAACUGAUCCCUCUGGGGAGUGUUAAACUGGAAUUGAUAUUAGAAAUUAGCAAAUCUACCUUCUGGAUCCCACUCAUCUUUGUCAGCAGCUUUUGCAGAGGUCAGUAACAAGCAG
Molecule: non-coding RNA, 644 nt
Organism: Chiloscyllium plagiosum (whitespotted bambooshark)
Lineage: Eukaryota; Metazoa; Chordata; Chondrichthyes; Orectolobiformes; Hemiscylliidae
Source: RefSeq, a predicted model, not a curated record